Long non-coding RNA from Equus caballus (horse), 1784 nucleotides. The record is from Ensembl. Lineage: Eukaryota; Metazoa; Chordata; Mammalia; Perissodactyla; Equidae.
AAUGUGGUGUAGAUUUUCCACCUACAGCACCUCUCACUUCAGACUGGCCACAUUUCAGGAGCUCGAUAGCCUCUUGUGGCUAGUGGCUGUUGCGUUGGACGAAAAAAUUCCAGACAAUCCUUGGUGGCCUUUACCUGCUACGAUAUUGAAAGGAUGUGCUGUCCAUCUUACCUGCCUUAUUUCCAACUGUUGGAUGUUUUUUUCUGACAGUAUCCAGACCUUCGUGUGAAAUAGGAAUUUCGGAGGGCCUGGCUGAGUGGUUUACCUGUUUUACGUGAUGCGUCUGGGACAGCUGGACGACUCACUUCCAGUAGGGCUUUUCACUCACAUCUGGCCUGCUCCAUGCUCCUUGGGCUCUCUCUCCCCAUGUCGUGUCUCAUCUUUCAGGGUCUGCGCAUGUAGCUUGACCUUCUUACAGCCUGGUGGUCUCAGGGUAGCUGCAUUUCUUACAUGGCGGCUGGCUUCCAAGAGGCAAGAAGUGGAAGAAGCCAGGCCAAUCCAGGGCUACGCCAAGAACGGGCAGUGGAUCAUUUCUACCACAGGAUAGUGAUCAAAGCAGGCUGGAGUCCUUCUCGGCUGAAGGAGUGGAGAAGUAGACUCCACUACUGCUGGGGGAAUGGCAAGUUCACACUGCAGAAGAGCACGUGGAGCGGGAGACACUGAUUUGAUACAGCCAUCUCUGAAAAACCCAGCUUCAUGUCACACGGCACAUGUAAAUCCAAUCGUCUUGCAUCCCAGACUCCUUGGAGCAUAUCACCAGCAGUGGUAGAAAUGACAACUGUGAUGCCUCCCUUCAUCUUCUUAAGGCUACGAGGAACAGUGGCAUAAACAUGAAGUUCAUGAUGUGUCACCGCUAGAAGAGGUUCCUAAAGGCACGAGGUGAAAGCAAUACUAAGAGAAGGGGAAAUUAGCCAAUCAGAGUGAGGCGGAGAGGCGGGGCAGACACCGGAGCUAAAUGCCCCCCCCGGGGCCUGACGGAGGCGGUCAGGGAGCAGCGAUGUUCGGAGUCAUUGACAUUUCUGGUACAGGGAACAUGCAGAAAAUAAUGGAAUUACCAAUGGUUGACUCGUCGACCUUAGAAUGCCCACUUCGGGCUGUGACGACGCUCAUUCGUGAGCUCGUUGGAAUGGCGGCUGCCCCCUCCACCGGACUGGACACUCCUGGAGACAAGGUCUGGGGCAGGUUUUGCUUGCUGUGGUAACCCCAGAGCCUAGUAGGACGUCUGACACAUGGCAGGCUUUCAGUCCAUCUUGUCAGGCUGAAGGAACACACAAGUUUAUGACAAACAAAAGUAUCUGACAAUGCACAAGGCUUUAUUUUGAACACAUGUUCUUGUUGCCUAAUCUUUGGGUGUUAAUGGUAUAGGAGGCAGCGUAUGGUAGACAAUUUAGCUUACUGGUUCAGAGCAGCCUUGAGUCCCGCCCUGCUGGGGUUCCAGUCCUGGCUUUGCUACUUACCAGCACGCAGGCUUCUAACCUCUCAGUGCCUCAGUGACUUCAUCAAUAAAAUGAGGGUAAUAAUGAUAAUGCCGGUUUUAUAGGGUUGUGGCAAGGAUUAAAUGAAUUCACACACAUAAAGCUCUUAGAACAAUGCCUUGUAAGUACCAGUGAGUAUAAAAAUGUUGGCUCUCACCACUGUUAUUGGUUAUUCAAGCUGGAAAACGGUUUUGGAUAAAUCCUUGAGUGUGCAUUGCUUUUGCUCUUUUUAAAGAAUUUAGACUAAGUGUUAAAUUUCAGCCAUGUAUGUGGUUAAUUGAGGUUUUAUUGGAGACCAUUAGUACAAAG